CAAAAUUUCUAAGGUGUAGAGAGUGAAAAAUAAGAGUUGUAAUUGGUGAGGAGUGUUGUUGAAGAAAUAAAAUAGUGUGUGUUUUGUGUGUUUUAUUUGUUAAUUCUCCAACAUGUAAUUCUCUGCAGGGGCAAUAUCACCAGCAAAUGAAGGCGAACAGGCCUGGUUCUAACACUCUUAGCAGUGCUGCCCAAUUUAUACAGAAUUUUGACAUUUUAAGAAUCUGACUCUAUGUCAAGAAAUCAAGUUCAUUGAUUCUCUGUUAAAUUUCUUGAAUGUGCUGAAAAAUUUAAGAUGGAGAGGUUAGGCAAUUCGUGCUUGUCAGAGUGAGUGAGCCUAUAAGGCCUCAUAUAAUCCAAAACCGGGACCAUGACCGGUUCAGUUGCCUGUCUAGCAAAUAUUAACUUUUCGAGUUCUCUUUUCUAUAAAGUGCAUCAAAGCUUUAUACCUUUUUCAGGUGAACAAGAAGAGACACGCUUCGUAUAUUCAUUUCUAUCUAAUAAAUAACAUGGUGCGUCCGGAAACCUUCAAUUGGAUGCAUACAGUUCUGCUGCGACAAAGCAUACAUUGACUCUAGGAUUAUACAAGCCAGGGACCGUGUUAUGAGCCUAACAACAAUUACUCCCACGCUUCAGUUGUCACGCAUCUCUACAAGUCCAAUAACAAGCUAACCCACACAUAUGAUUUCAUGCAGCGUGGUCUGAUUAUCUCUCAGGACCCACGUAAACUUGAAAAUUUCCCUUUUUGCCACUAAAUUAUUAUCUAUAAACUUACACUUUGAAUCUGCAUUCUAUAUAUCAAAACUAAGAACGUAAAGAUAUAAUAUACACGAUUGUCAUGUCUUAUUGUGUAGCUGUUGGAAAAUGCAUAUAUGAACAUGCUAAUGGGGAGGAAAUCCUUUAGUGAUUUUUCAUAUUAAAUAAAAUUGGAUGAUUGAAAAGUAAAAUUUUAACUUGCUUAUAGCUAAUGAAUUGUAUGUGCUUCCGUAUGAAUUUAUGAGCUUUCUCACUGGAAAUAAACAAACAUCGAUUCGCUGAUUUUAGUGCCAUGAUGAUGCCAUUAUGGAUGAGUAAGGGUAUCACAAUUUCAAAUUAAAACUUCUUUGAUGAGAUUGAAGACAAAACUGUCACAGGCACAUGGGAAGAGGUAUAUUCAGAUCCUAUUUAAUUUUCCGUCGGACCGAUCACAAGAGCUCGAGCAAAGAAAUUCAAAGAAGCGCUUAAUGGGUUGAUUCAAGCAACUUGGGCUCAAUCAAAUUCGUGGAGGCCUGUUAAAGGAAUCACACACGAUAAAUGCAUGAUUCAGACUCUUGAAGUUUUCAAAUAAUCACUUCCAUGAAAUAGGAAGUUGGCUUGCAUAUUAUGGUAAGAAAAUAUAUUAUUUUCCUUUUACGGAUACUUUCUCGUUUCUUAAGGAGGCUAGUGGAUAGACAAAUCAGUCAUUUCUCUUUUAAUUGUCGAGUUUCCAUUCUAAUUAAUGCAAGACCUUUAAGCCGAUUAGGAUUCUGAUUUGAUUUCGAUUUUUUCCUUAUUUUCUUUAGAUUAGGAUUCCGAUUUGAUUUUGCUUUAGGAUUUAUUUCCAAAAUUUCUUGUAACCAACCCUAUAUAUUGUACUCGCAUCCAAUAAAUAGAGAAGAUUAGUUUUGAAUCUAGCGAUUAGGUAUGGUUACACAUGCACAAGGAACGAUUUCCAAAACGAAGGAAAUCUAAGUUAUUAUCUUCAAGGGAUGGUCCUUUACAAGUUUUGUAAUGGAUUAAUGAUGAUGCAUAUAAACUAGAUUUGUCUAGUGAGUACAAUGUAAGUACUACUUUUAAUGUUUUUAAUUUGAGUCCUUUUGAUGCAAGUGAUAAUUUUUUAGGACAAAUCCUCUUCAAGAGGAGGGGAAUGAUGAGAUUGAGGACAAAAUUAUUACAAACAAUGGGAUGAG
This 1927-nucleotide long non-coding RNA is filed under the name Citrus sinensis (sweet orange). RNAcentral's name for it is "long non-coding RNA (CSIN_LNC004150)". The record is from RNAcentral. Lineage: Eukaryota; Viridiplantae; Streptophyta; Magnoliopsida; Sapindales; Rutaceae.